GAUUAACGCUGGCGGCGUGCCUAACACAUGCAAGUCGAACGAGGUAGCAAUACCUAGUGGCAGACGGGUGAGUAACGCGUGGUCAACCUACCGUUGAGUGGGGGAUAACGAGCCGAAAGGUUAGCUAAUACCGCAUACGUCUCCGAGGGGCAUCCCUUGGCGAUAAAAGGAGCAAUCCGCUCGAUGACGGGACCGCGUCCCAUUAGCUAGAUGGUGGGGUAACGGCCUACCAUGGCACCGAUGGGUAGCUGGUUUGAGAGAGCGACCAGCCACACUGGGACUGAGAAACGGCCCAGACUCCUACGGGAGGCAGCAGUGAGGAAUUUUCCGCAAUGGGCGCAAGCCUGACGGAGCGACGCCGCGUGUGGGAAGAAGGCC
RNAcentral lists this ribosomal RNA (378 nucleotides) under uncultured bacterium. RNAcentral describes it as "bacterial SSU rRNA". It matches the Rfam family "Bacterial small subunit ribosomal RNA", at positions 28 to 416 of the family's 1533-position model. The record is from RNAcentral.